RNAcentral lists this ribosomal RNA (468 nucleotides) under uncultured bacterium. RNAcentral's name for it is "partial 16S ribosomal RNA". It matches the Rfam family "Bacterial small subunit ribosomal RNA", at positions 28 to 507 of the family's 1533-position model. The record is from RNAcentral.
GACGAACGCUGGCGGCGUGCUUAACACAUGCCAGUCGAACGGAAAGGCCCUGCUUUUGUGGGGUGCUCGAGUGGCGAACGGGUGAGUAACACGUGAGUAACCUGCCCUUGACUUUGGGAUAACUUCAGGAAACUGGGGCUAAUACCGGAUAGGAGCUCCUGCUGCAUGGUGGGGGUUGGAAAGUUUCGGCGGUUGGGGAUGGACUCGCGGCUCAUCAGCUUGUUGGUGGGGUAGUGGCUUACCAAGGCUUUGACGGGUAGCCGGCCUGAGAGGGUGACCGGCCACAUUGGGACUGAGAUACGGCCCAGACUCCUACGGGAGGCAGCAGUGGGGAAUAUUGCACAAUGGGCGGAAGCCUGAUGCAGCAACGCCGCGUGCGGGAUGACGGCCUUCGGGUUGUAAACCGCUUUCGCCUGUGACGAAGCGUGAGUGACGGUAAUGGGUAAAGAAGCACCGGCUAACUACGUG